AGAACGAACGCUGGCGGCAUGCCUAAUACAUGCAAGUCGAACGAACUCUUCGGAGUUAGUGGCGCACGGGUGCGUAACGCGUGGGAAUCUGCCCCUUGGUUCGGAAUAACAGUUGGAAACGACUGCUAAUACCGGAUGAUGACGAAAGUCCAAAGAUUUAUCGCCAAGGGAUGAGCCCGCGUAGGAUUAGCUAGUUGGUGAGGUAAAGGCUCACCAAGGCAACGAUCCUUAGCUGGUCUGAGAGGAUGAUCAGCCACACUGGGACUGAGACACGGCCCAGACUCCUACGGGAGCAGCAGUAGGGAAUAUUGGACAAUGGGCGCAAGCCUGAUCCGGCAAUGGCCGCGUGAGUGAUGAAGGCUUAGGGUUGUAAAGCUCUUUACCCGAGAUGAUAAUGACAGUAGUCGGAAGAAAUAAGCCCCGGACUAACUCCGUGCCAGCAGCCGC
RNAcentral lists this ribosomal RNA (447 nucleotides) under uncultured soil bacterium. RNAcentral's name for it is "bacterial SSU rRNA". It matches the Rfam family "Bacterial small subunit ribosomal RNA", at positions 26 to 518 of the family's 1533-position model. The record is from RNAcentral.